Vicugna pacos (alpaca) is the source of this 814-nucleotide non-coding RNA. The record is from RefSeq and is a predicted model, not a curated record. Lineage: Eukaryota; Metazoa; Chordata; Mammalia; Artiodactyla; Camelidae.
AGUUUACUUAGAAUGCUUCUGGUAACAGACUGUGUGAAACUUACUGGUAUUUUUGACAAACUUUCUAUCAAAUUCUAAUUAAAGUUCUUCUGACUUCAGCUGACUUUGGGAUGCUUCAGAGGGCCCCCGAGAUGUCUUAGAGAAGGACAUGAAGCUAACUAGGCCUGGCUGCUGUGCAGAAUAGCGGGGAAGCGGUCAAGCGAGUGAGGAGGGGUCUUUGUCAUCCACAGGCAGUUAGGCUGAUGCUUUGCAGAACUGCUUCACCUUCAAGAGGAUCCACAGAGAAGACUUUGACAGAUGUUUCCUUCCCCAUCAGUACUGCCCCCAGUGUCAGGACAGAGAGAGAAUUUUCUAACGGAGUCGUCGGGGUGCAACUACGCACGAGGGGGAGCAAGGUGUGCUGAGUCUGCUGCUAAAAGCGCGUGCACGAGGCUCGUGUAACAACCGGGCAUGAGUGAUAAAGUGUAGGGCCUGUGAAGCGCCUCCCGCUGACACACCUCUGAGCCUGCUCACGACGUCCAAUCAGUUUCCCCCGACAUGGAUAACGAGGCAAAUACAAAGGAGGCCUCACACCGAGGGACGUGGCCUGAACUGGGACAGAGCCACCCCCCCAGCAUCGAGGGGCAGACGUUGUGAUCAUCAGUGCUUUCCACUGAAAGGCUCUCCGUCAAAAGGAGAAAUGAUGGAAAAAUCUGCACACACACACACGGGGAGCCCAUUCUGGCUUAGGUACGGUUUAACUUACAAUUUACUGGCCAAAGUGGCGUGUUUUAUGACAUUUUGGACACGCACUGCACACCUGCUCUGGCCUUGA